RNAcentral lists this ribosomal RNA (468 nucleotides) under uncultured bacterium. RNAcentral's name for it is "partial 16S ribosomal RNA". It matches the Rfam family "Bacterial small subunit ribosomal RNA", at positions 28 to 507 of the family's 1533-position model. The record is from RNAcentral.
GAUGAACGCUGGCGGCGUGCUUAACACAUGCAAGUCGAACGGAAAGGCCCUGCUUUUGUGGGGUGCUCGAGUGGCGAACGGGCGAGUAACACGUGAGUAACCUGCCCUUGACUUUGGGAUAACUUCAGGAAACUGGGGCUAAUACCGGAUAGGAGCUCCUGCUGCAUGGUGGGGGUUGGAAAGUUUCGGCGGUUGGGGAUGGACUCGCGGCUUAUCAGCUUGUUGAUGGGGUAGUGGCUUACCAAGGCUUUGACGGGUAGCCGGCCUGAGAGGGUGACCGGCCACAUUGGGACUGAGAUACGGCCCAGACUCCUACGGGAGGCAGCAGUGGGGAAUAUUGCACAAUGGGCGGAAGCCUGAUGCAGCAACGCCGCGUGCGGGAUGACGGCCUUCGGGUUGUAAACCGCUUUCGCCUGUGACGAAGCGUGAGUGACGGUAAUGGGUAAAGAAGCACCGGCUAACUACGUG